GCCUAGCCCUGAUAGUAGCGACAUCCUUUUACUUUUUCCUUUAAAAAGUAAAAGAUAUAGCGGAUAGCAGGAAAUAGC
This is a small RNA of Hucho hucho (huchen), 78 nucleotides long. Lineage: Eukaryota; Metazoa; Chordata; Actinopteri; Salmoniformes; Salmonidae. The record is from Ensembl.